Molecule: transfer RNA, 71 nt
Filed under: Loxodonta africana (African savanna elephant)
Lineage: Eukaryota; Metazoa; Chordata; Mammalia; Proboscidea; Elephantidae
Rfam family: tRNA
About the family: Transfer RNA (tRNA) molecules are approximately 80 nucleotides in length. Their secondary structure includes four short double-helical elements and three loops (D, anti-codon, and T loops). Further hydrogen bonds mediate the characteristic L-shaped molecular structure. tRNAs have two regions of fundamental functional importance: the anti-codon, which is responsible for specific mRNA codon recognition, and the 3' end, to which the tRNAs corresponding amino acid is attached (by aminoacyl-tRNA synthetases). tRNAs cope with the degeneracy of the genetic code in two manners: having more than one tRNA (with a specific anti-codon) for a particular amino acid; and 'wobble' base-pairing, i.e. permitting non-standard base-pairing at the 3rd anti-codon position.
Source: Rfam by way of RNAcentral
GCAGUGAUGGGUCAGUGGUGGAGUUCCUGCUUUUCAUGCAGGAGACCCAGGUUCGAUUCCCAGCCAAUGCA